UGGGGAAUAUUGCACAAUGGGCGCAAGCCUGAUGCAGCCAUGCCGCGUGUAUGAAGAAGGCCUUCGGGUUGUAAAGUACUUUCAGUCGGGAGGAAGGUGGUAAGGUUAAUAACCUUAUCAAUUGACGUUACCGACAGAAGAAGCACCGGCUAACUCCGUGCCAGCAGCCGCGGUAAUACGGAGGGUGCAAGCGUUAAUCGGAAUUACUGGGCGUAAAGCGCACGCAGGCGGUUGAUUGAGUCAGAUGUGAAAUCCCCGGGCUUAACCCGUGAAUUGCAUCUGGUACUGGUCAGCUAGAGUCUUGUAGAGGGGGGUAGAAUUCCAUGUGUAGCGGUGAAAUGCGUAGAGAUCUGGAGGAAUACCGGUGGCGAAGGCGGCCCACUGGACAAAGACUGACGCUCAGGUGCGAAAGCGUGGGGAGCAAACAGG
Molecule: ribosomal RNA, 429 nt
Filed under: Chloroflexota bacterium
Lineage: Bacteria; Bacillati; Chloroflexota
Description: Chloroflexi bacterium partial 16S ribosomal RNA
Rfam family: Bacterial small subunit ribosomal RNA
Source: RNAcentral